UGUCCUCGAGCAUAAUCAACAGUUGGAACUCCAGCAUACAUAGCCCCCGAGGUUCUUUCCAGAAAAGAGUAUGAUGGAAAGGUAGCAGACGUUUGGUCCUGUGGUGUCACGCUGUACGUGAUGCUCGUGGGAUCAUAUCCAUUUGAAGAUCCUGAGGAUCCAAGGAACUUCCGGAAAACGAUCAGCAGAAUUCUUGGCGUGUAAUACUCCAUCCCGGAUUAUGUGAGAGUGUCUUCAGACUGCAGACGCCUUCUGUCUCAGAUAUUCGUUGCCGAUCCUUCAAAGGUACUUCCUCUCUCAAUU
Long non-coding RNA from Zea mays, 303 nucleotides. RefSeq lists it as uncharacterized. The record is from RefSeq and is a predicted model, not a curated record. The transcript is spliced from 3 exons. Lineage: Eukaryota; Viridiplantae; Streptophyta; Magnoliopsida; Poales; Poaceae.